RNAcentral lists this ribosomal RNA (468 nucleotides) under uncultured bacterium. RNAcentral's name for it is "partial 16S ribosomal RNA". It matches the Rfam family "Bacterial small subunit ribosomal RNA", at positions 28 to 507 of the family's 1533-position model. The record is from RNAcentral.
GACGAACGCUGGCGGCGUGCUUAACACAUGCAAGUCGAACGGAAAGGCCAUGCUUUUGCGGGGUGCUCGAGUGGCGAACGGGUGAGUAACAAGUGAGUAACCUGCCCUUGACUUAGGGAUAACUUCAGGAAACUGGGGCUAAUACCGGAUAGGAGCUCCUGCUGCAUGGUGGGGGUUGGAAAGUUUCGGCGGUUGGGGAUGGACUCGCGGCUUAUCAGCUUGUUGGUGGGGUAGUGGCUUAACAAGGCUUUGACGGGUAGCAGGCCUGAGAGGGUGACCGGCCACAUUGGGACUGAGAAACGGCGCAGACGCCUACGGGAGGCAGAAGUGGAGAAUAUUGCACAAUGGGCGCGAGCCAGAUGCAGCAACGCCGCGUGCGGGAUGACGGCCUUCGUGUUGUGAACCGCUUUCUCCUGUGACGAAGCGUGUGGGACGGUAAUGGGUAAAGAAGCACCGGGUAACUACGUG